UCGAGAAUCUUCGGCAAUGGGCGCAAGCCUGACCGAGCGACGCCGCGUGGAGGACGAAGGCCUUCGGGUUGUAAACUCCUGUCGAGGGGGAAGAAGGGGCCGCGAGGCCCUUGACUGAUCCCUGGAGGAAGCACGGGCUAAGUUCGUGCCAGCAGCCGCGGUAAGACGAACCGUGCGAACGUUAUUCGGAAUCACUGGGCUUAAAGCGCGUGUAGGCGGGAGGGCACGUCCGCAGCUGAAAUCCCCCGGCUUAACCGGGGAACGGGCGCGGAUACGACCUUCCUCGAGGGGCGUAGGGGGACCUGGAACUUCCGGUGGAGCGGUGAAAUGCGUUGAGAUCGGAAGGAACGCCCGUGGCGAAAGCGAGGUCCUGGACGCCUACUGACGCUGAGACGCGAAAGCCAGGGGAGCGAACG
Molecule: ribosomal RNA, 416 nt
Filed under: uncultured Planctomycetaceae bacterium
Lineage: Bacteria; Pseudomonadati; Planctomycetota; Planctomycetia; Planctomycetales; Planctomycetaceae
Description: partial 16S ribosomal RNA
Rfam family: Bacterial small subunit ribosomal RNA
Source: RNAcentral